This 465-nucleotide ribosomal RNA is filed under the name uncultured Klebsiella sp. RNAcentral's name for it is "bacterial SSU rRNA". It matches the Rfam family "Bacterial small subunit ribosomal RNA", at positions 338 to 795 of the family's 1533-position model. Lineage: Bacteria; Pseudomonadati; Pseudomonadota; Gammaproteobacteria; Enterobacterales; Enterobacteriaceae. The record is from RNAcentral.
CCUACGGGUGGCUGCAGUGGGGAAUAUUGCACAAUGGGCGCAAGCCUGAUGCAGCCAUGCCGCGUGUGUGAAGAAGGCCUUCGGGUUGUAAAGCACUUUCAGCGGGGAGGAAGGCGGUGAGGUUAAUAACCUCAUCGAUUGACGUUACCCGCAGAAGAAGCACCGGCUAACUCCGUGCCAGCAGCCGCGGUAAUACGGAGGGUGCAAGCGUUAAUCGGAAUUACUGGGCGUAAAGCGCACGCAGGCGGUCUGUCAAGUCGGAUGUGAAAUCCCCGGGCUCAACCUGGGAACUGCAUUCGAAACUGGCAGGCUAGAGUCUUGUAGAGGGGGGUAGAAUUCCAGGUGUAGCGGUGAAAUGCGUAGAGAUCUGGAGGAAUACCGGUGGCGAAGGCGGCCCCCUGGACAAAGACGGACGCUCAGGUGCGAAAGCGUGGGGAGCAAACAGGAUUAGAUACCCUAGUAGUC